GGUCGAUUGGCCCAGUGGUUAAGGCAUUCGCUUUACAAACCUCCUCCUCGGAUGAGAAAAGAUCGCGAAGGAUCGCAGGUUCGAUCCCUGCAUCGAUCA
Microdochium trichocladiopsis is the source of this 99-nucleotide non-coding RNA. The record is from the annotation of a RefSeq genome assembly. Lineage: Eukaryota; Fungi; Ascomycota; Sordariomycetes; Xylariales; Microdochiaceae.